RNAcentral lists this ribosomal RNA (1431 nucleotides) under Triticum aestivum (bread wheat). Its description in RNAcentral is "partial small subunit ribosomal RNA". Lineage: Eukaryota; Viridiplantae; Streptophyta; Magnoliopsida; Poales; Poaceae. The record is from RNAcentral.
AUGGCAGCAAUUCACCACCUCCUCUCCGUCUCAGUGUACAUCAUUUGUCUCUGCUACUUGCUGUCGUUGACCAGUGCACCUCCGGGUCUGGCCACCGCGCUCUCCUUCAACUUCAACUUCUCCAGCAGCAACUCCGGCGACCUCUGCGACACGGAGCUUAGGUGCGAACGUGACGCGCGCAUGGGCUCUGGCGCCAUCGACCUAACAAAGAAUGAGCUCAGAGCCAACUUGUACAGCGCCGGCCGGGCAUCGUAUGGUCGCCCGGUGCCGCUCUGGGACAACGCCACCGGUAAGGUGGCCAGCUUCUCCUCCAACUUCACGUUCCAGAUCAGGCCCCAAAAUGAGACGCAUGAGAAGUUCCCUGGAGAAAAGUGUGACUUCAACAGCAGCGAUGGCAUGGCUGACGGUAUGGCUUUCUUCCUGGCGCGCUACCCGUCCAGGAUCCCUCCCAACAGCUACGGCAUGAACCUCGCCCUCUUCAACGACAGCAACAACUUGAACUCCACUGGCGAUGACCGUGUAGUCGCCGUGGAGUUCGACACCUACUUCAGCCCCAUGGACCACAGCAACAACCAUGUUGGCAUAGACGUCAACUCCAUCAACUCCAAGGCCUACACAAACGUGACCAAGCGCCUGGGCUCCGACAACGCUGUCGUGACUGUCGAGGUCAGCUACGACAACCGUACGGGUGUUCUGGUCGCCCACCUCCAGAUCAGCGGCGACGAGCGGUGGUACACGGUGAGCAUGUCCGUGGACAUGAAGAAGGAGUUGCCCCAGCAGGUUGCGGUUGGCUUCUCUGGAGCAAGCGGUAUCUGCAUCGAGCUGCAUCAAGUAUUGUCUUGGUCAUUUAGCUCCACUCUAGAGGAAGCCACUGUACUAGCUACCAAUUCGCGGCCGCCACGGUGGCUAGUGCCCGUGCUGGUGCCUUCCGCAGCAGUAGCUUUUCUUGCGUUGGUCUGCACCGUCGGCAUCCUAGUAUGUCGGCGACGCAUAUGGGAUUCUGAUGAUAACGAUGACAGAGAACAUGAGCAAGCUGAGUUUGAGAGGGGAGUGGGCCCUAGGCGGUACCGCUACCAUGAGCUCGCCGCUGCCACCAAGGGCUUUGCGGAGGAGGAGAAACUGGGGCGAGGGGGCUUCGGCAAUGUCUAUCGGGGCAGCCUGGGCGACCAAGACGGCUCGGUGGCCAUAAAGAUGUUCUCCGCGGAAUCAUCAGCGCAGGGGCGGAAAGAGUUUGAGUCGGAAGUGAAGAUCAUAAGCCGGCUGAGGCACCGAAACCUUGUGCACUUGUUAGGAUGGUCGGAUAGCCCUAGAGGGCUGUUGCUCGUCUACCAACUCGUGCCGGAAGGCAGCCUUGACCGACAUAUACACACCAGCUGUCUCACUUGGACACAGAGGUACGAAGCAAAAUUAAGUUCUCAGUUUCAUUCCUAA